RNAcentral lists this unclassified non-coding RNA (531 nucleotides) under Hevea brasiliensis (rubber tree). Lineage: Eukaryota; Viridiplantae; Streptophyta; Magnoliopsida; Malpighiales; Euphorbiaceae. The record is from RNAcentral.
AAAAAAAAAAAAAGGUAUUUAGUGAAAGGUAAGGAUGUUAGAGCAGUUGCUUAUUUUCACUAGAGGAGGAUUAAUCCUCUGGACAUGUAAAGAGCUUGGAAAUGCUCUUAAAGGAUCGCCAAUUGACACUUUGAUUCGAUCUUGUCUUUUGGAGGAACGAUCUGGUGCAGCAUCUUACAACUAUGAUGCUCCUGGUGCUGCAUACACCCUCAAAUGGACUUUCCAUAACGACCUUGGCCUCGUGUUUGUUGCUGUGUAUCAGCGGAUCCUCCAUCUACUGUAUGUUGAUGAACUGCUUGCAAUGGCCAAGCGUGAGUUUUCUGAAAUUUAUGAUCCUAAGCGAAUGAACUACAAUGAUUUUGAUGAAACUUUUAGGCAGCUUAGGAAAGAGGCAGAAGCCCGAGCUGAAGAAUUGAAGAAAUCCAAACACGUGGGUAAGCCUGUAAAUGAUGGUAAGAAACAAGGGCAAGUGAAAAAAGGUGGGUUUGAAGUAGGAAAUAAGAAAAAGAGUGAAGCAAAUGAUGGUGGUGA